CCUACAUACGAUACGGAGAAAAUUCGAAAGUGAAAGUAGAAAUUGUGUACAAGUUAACAAUAACCAUCUCGAAGUUGAAGUUAAACACGCAAUCUGGAACUCGGUAUCACAUCUGACUCGCACUUCUGACACUUCUGAAAUGGAUCAAAUCGGACUUUGUCGUCGAGACUCGGAAGAACCAAGCUGCCUAAAUUAUAAUGCCAGUGGAACUCAAAACAGAAAAGAUACUUGUAUGCAAGACAUGGAGAAAACAGCAGACUACAGCCUCUAUAUACCAUUCCUUGGUGCCUCCUUGAAUUGAUGUUU
Molecule: long non-coding RNA, 306 nt
Organism: Saccostrea cuccullata (small rock oyster)
Lineage: Eukaryota; Metazoa; Mollusca; Bivalvia; Ostreida; Ostreidae
Exons: 3
Source: RefSeq, a predicted model, not a curated record